CUGGAGAGAAGGUGGGUCCCCCCCGGCUCUACACAGCGGUUCAGCCGCGGGUGCCCAACUGGGGCUGGUGCUCUGCCCACGUGGGCUUCUCACGCUGCUUCCCCAGCCCAUGCCCCGCCGAGGACCUUUCCCUGCACACCGCCCGCGGGCUGGCUACAGCUCAGCCCUGCAGCUGCUCUCAGCAGCUCCCAGGGAGCGUGGGUCCUUCCCACCUGGCCCUCUCCCAGCAGGUCAGGCUGCUGCCGCAUCUCACGUUCUUCCUUCCCUUCCCCUCUCUUCUCAUCUUUUCCCUUCGCACGCAGGCUUUCCUGUACAAGGCUCUUGGGACAGCACUCGGAGCUUGUAAGGAAGUCCUCCAUGUGCAAGAGAAGCUGCUGCAACACCUGGAGGAAGCAAACGCGGAGGAGCCAUCUGAGGCCCAGGGGAUGGUCUCUCUUCUCAGCCACGCUGCUGAGAGCAACUUCCAGCCAGUCCUGGAUGUGCUCACCAUGUUUGCGUCCAGGCUGUGCAAAGGCCGGCGUGCAAAGAUGUCCGCACGCAAGAAGAUGGAACAGGACAGCACAAGAGCCCAAGCCACACGCAGCGCUCUUAUGCUCGCCCACGGCAGCUUGGCGCUGCGUGCCUCCAAAGAUCAACUGCUCGCCCGCCUGGAGGGAGACAUCGUGGGCAACAUCCUGCUGCUCUACAGCUGCAGCUGCCGGGUGAGAGCUGGGGGCGUGCCAGGGUGCCAGAGCGCCCAGCCGCAGCCCCUCCACCUGGGGGGAUGCUGAGAUGG
This 775-nucleotide long non-coding RNA is filed under the name Numida meleagris (helmeted guineafowl). RNAcentral's name for it is "lncRNA (ENSNMEG00000008730.1)". The record is from RNAcentral. Lineage: Eukaryota; Metazoa; Chordata; Aves; Galliformes; Numididae.